GUUAUGAUAAGUAUUUAAGCUAAAUUUUUUUAUUUUUUCAUUGUUAAAUAGAUUAUCCAUUCACUGGGACUAAGGUCUCAUUCUCUCUCACUUCCUUUGUUGCAGACUUGAAGCAUUUUAGUAUAGAAGCAAAGCAUCAGCAUCUUCAACAACAUUAAUACUAAAGGAGGUUGGUCAUGUCUGCCAGUGGGAGGAGGAUACUUUUGGUCACGUCAGC
Molecule: long non-coding RNA, 217 nt
Filed under: Elaeis guineensis (African oil palm)
Lineage: Eukaryota; Viridiplantae; Streptophyta; Magnoliopsida; Arecales; Arecaceae
Description: long non-coding RNA (EGUI_LNC050811)
Source: RNAcentral